RNAcentral lists this ribosomal RNA (120 nucleotides) under Bison bison bison. The record is from RNAcentral. Lineage: Eukaryota; Metazoa; Chordata; Mammalia; Artiodactyla; Bovidae.
GUCUCAGGCCGUAUCAGCCUGAAGGCGACCGAUCUCGUCUGAUCUCGGAAGCUAAGCAGGGUCGGGCCUGGUUAGGAUCUUGGAUGGGAGACCACCUGGGAAUCCCGGGUGCUCGAGGCU